Long non-coding RNA from Homo sapiens (human), 465 nucleotides. The record is from Ensembl. NCBI's taxonomy places the organism in Eukaryota, Metazoa, Chordata, Mammalia, Primates, Hominidae.
AAGAGAAGCUGCUGGAAGAUUCAUCCUCUGGGGUCUCUGGGUUGAUGUUUUACCUCAAUGCAUCUAGGACUCAGAAUAGCUGGUUGCAACUAUGACUCUUCAUUAACCUGCUGAAUAACAUAGACCAGCCAUCCAACUUUCCCCACUUAAGAAAUGAGGACAUUAUCUAGUCUUCUCACUUGACAGAACUGUCGUGAGAAAAGAUUAUUUAUAUUAAUAUGCUGAAAGCCUAACCCACAUGGUGAUGGUAUUAGGAGGUGGGGCCUUUGAAAGGCGAUUAAUGAGAACAGAGACAGCAUGAUUCAGAUUGGUGCUCUUGUAAAAGAGGCCCCAGAGAGCUAGUGAGCCUUUUCCACCGUGGAGGACCCAGCAAGAGGGCUCCAUCUAUGAACCAGAAAUCAGGAUCUCACCAGGUUUCCCAGCCUGAAGAACUGGAAGAAAUAAACUUCUGUUGUUUAUAAGCUA